GACGAACGCUGGCGGCGUGCUUAACACAUGCAAGUCGAACGAUGAAGAAAAGAAUCGAUGCUUCGGCAGAAAUUCAUUUCGGAUUAGUGGCAGACGGGUGAGUAACGCGUGAGCAACCUACCUCUUACAAAGGGAUAGCCUCGGGAAACCGGGAUUAAUACCAUAUAACAUUGUGACGAAGCAUUUCGAUGCAAUCAAAUCUACGACGGUAGGAGAGGGGCGCGCGUCCCAUUCACCGGAUGGUAAGGUAACGGCUCACCAUAGCGACGAUGGGUAACCGGGAUGUGAGGGUGAACCGUGACACUGGAACUGAGACACGGUCCAGAAUACUAGGGGAGGGAGCAGAGGGGAAUAUAGCACAACGGAGGGAGCGCUGAUGCAGCGCCGGCGGGUGAGUGAUGAAGGAAUUCGUUAAGUAAAGCUGUGUUAUAUGGGAAGAAAAUGACGGUACCAUAGGAGAAAGCACCGGCUAAAUACGUG
RNAcentral lists this ribosomal RNA (480 nucleotides) under uncultured bacterium. Its description in RNAcentral is "partial 16S ribosomal RNA". It matches the Rfam family "Bacterial small subunit ribosomal RNA", at positions 28 to 507 of the family's 1533-position model. The record is from RNAcentral.